UUGAUUCUUUUUGAUGAUGGUUGAUAUGCCUUUUUCCCAGGCAGUCGUAAUUGUUCAGAAUUUUGGAGGUAGCAGAAGUAUACGUAGUAUACAGAUUGCUACACACUGGUCUGUUUUUGACAGAUUCUGUUUUUGUUGAGUUGGUUGCUUGUUUUGAUGAAACUAUGGUUAGUAUAGGGGGGUACUAGCCAUGGGAAAGUGACAAUACAGUAGCCCAACACAAAUGUAGAUAGAAUUCAAGUUUUCUACGGUACCAAAGGAGGUGGUAGUUUGUUUUCUUGUGCUAAUGAUAUCACGAGUUUCUGUUUAAGUUUUGUGUUGUGAAGUUUUCAAGUUUUGGGUGAUGUUCUCAUGGACAAAGAGAUAAGGAGUGGAAAGAGCUCAAGCUUGGGGAUGCCCAAGGCAUCCCAAGCCAAACUCAAGGACACCAAAAAGCC
RNAcentral lists this long non-coding RNA (437 nucleotides) under Hordeum vulgare. RNAcentral's name for it is "long non-coding RNA (HVUL_LNC001813)". Lineage: Eukaryota; Viridiplantae; Streptophyta; Magnoliopsida; Poales; Poaceae. The record is from RNAcentral.